Molecule: ribosomal RNA, 542 nt
Filed under: uncultured bacterium
Lineage: Bacteria
Description: partial 16S ribosomal RNA
Rfam family: Bacterial small subunit ribosomal RNA
Source: RNAcentral
UGGGGAAUCUUGCGCAAUGGGCGAAAGCCUGACGCAGCCAUGCCGCGUGAAUGAUGAAGGUCUUAGGAUUGUAAAAUUCUUUCACCGGGGACGAUAAUGACGGUACCCGGAGAAGAAGCCCCGGCUAACUUCGUGCCAGCAGCCGCGGUAAUACGAAGGGGGCUAGCGUUGCUCGGAAUUACUGGGCGUAAAGGGAGCGUAGGCGGACAUUUAAGUCAGGGGUGAAAUCCCGGGGCUCAACCUCGGAACCGCCUUUGAUACUGGGUGUCUUGAGUGUGAUAGAGGUAUGUGGAACUCCGAGUGUAGAGGUGAAAUUCGUAGAUAUUCGGAAGAACACCAGUGGCGAAGGCGACAUACUGGAUCAUUACUGACGCUGAGGCUCGAAAGCGUGGGGAGCAAACAGGAUUAGAUACCCUGGUAGUCCACGCCGUAAACGAUGAUUGCUAGUUGUCGGGGUGUUUACACCUCGGUGACGCAGCUAACGCAUUAAGCAAUCCGCCUGGGGAGUACGGUCGCAAGAUUAAAAACUUAAAUGAAUUGAC